AAUCAACGCUGGCGGCGUGCCUCAGACAUGCAAGUCGAACGAUUAAAGCUCUCUUCGGAGAGUGCAUAGAGUGGCGCACGGGUGAGUAACACGUAAGUAAUCUACCUUCGAGUGGGGAAUAACAUCGGGAAACCGAUGCUAAUACCGCAUAAUGCAGCGGCAUCAUAAGAUGACAGUUGUUAAAGAUUUAUCGCUUGAAGAGGAGCUUGCGGCAGAUUAGCUAGUUGGUAAGGUAAUGGCUUACCAAGGCUACGAUCUGUAACCGGUCUAAGAGGACGGUCGGUCACACUGACACUGAAUAACGGGUCAGACUCCUACGGG
This 321-nucleotide ribosomal RNA is filed under the name uncultured bacterium. Its description in RNAcentral is "bacterial SSU rRNA". It matches the Rfam family "Bacterial small subunit ribosomal RNA", at positions 32 to 345 of the family's 1533-position model. The record is from RNAcentral.